Long non-coding RNA from Mus pahari (shrew mouse), 2642 nucleotides. RefSeq lists it as uncharacterized. Lineage: Eukaryota; Metazoa; Chordata; Mammalia; Rodentia; Muridae. The record is from RefSeq and is a predicted model, not a curated record. The transcript is spliced from 4 exons.
GGGGAGGGGGAGGCGCGGGGAACUCGGCCCCGGCUGUUCUCCCGGCCGGGAGGCAACAGCGCCCCGGGACCCCCCUAGUUCGCACUACCCAUUCAAGUUCUCGGGGCCCUGCGCCCGAUUCGGAGGUGGCGCCCGCCGCCCGCCCUGCCUCUGUGCCCCCGUUUCCAGUCACCGCGCGGAAAUUUAGGUCAAGGACGCCGGGAGCACACCCACACCCUGCGCUCCCAGGGCAGUCCUCGAGAUCCUCGGGAUCUCGGGAGCUUGCGGAUGGAGGAGACCCUCCUGCACAAACAUCAGCCACAAGUUUUAUUUUCCCUUCGCGCGGCAAGUUCUCUGGCUCCCGCUCCACACUGGCACGUCCUGCACGGCUCCCCGCCCUUCCCCGGCAGAGGCAGAAGUCAGUGGCUACCUUCCUGAUAUCGACUUGAACAGACUCUUAAGUGGUGAGCCGAGAGGAGACCUGAUGGGCCGGGGCCCCAAGCUCUGCAGUGUCCAAGCCAGAGACUGAUAAAGGACUAAAGGAGAAAGCUACGUCUCUCCACUGUUUUUACUAAGGAGGUGGUCACAGCAGCUGAACACAGCCCGGCAACAGUGUUAACUCCACUAUGUUUGUAUCUCGGGAAGGCCGGUCCAACAAAAUCUCUGCAGAUCUUUGAGAAAUUGCCACUUUGUAGAAGAAACGUGCACUUUGGAGGACUGUGGGAUUUCUCUGCGAACCCUGGUUAUCCUGGAGUGCACUCUGUAGACCAGGCUGGACUCAAACCUUGCAUCUACCUCUGCCUCCCAGUUCAUGAUGUGAACACCUGGAUCCAGAUGUGCCUGAAGCUCUCCCAUUAUCUCGACUUCUCGAUGAAAUGGUCUCAGGUUGGGAUCUCUCAGACUUGCAGAAGAAAAGAAACCAACCCUAGCUAAUGCAGAGACACAGCAUCUGACCCUGUCACUAUUGUGCCAGUCAAGUGAGCGGGUGCUGGCACACAGCGGCAUCUAAAUUAUACCCGGGGCACACGUAAGGUGAGAUGGUUUUGCUUUCUGCCCUUUCCCAUUCUUUUUCUGAAGCCUUCAGCCUCAGAGAGUCCUGUCGGCAUGGUCCCAGUCACCGGGCACAAGAAUUACACCCAAGGUCAUGAAGAGUGAUGGCAGAGCUGUCAUCCCCAGGAAAGGACAACAACAACAAACAACAGUUAUUCCAGCUCUGGAGUACCAACACACCGCAGGCUUCCAAAGCCCUUGUAGCCAAAUUAAAUCUGACAUCACUCCUCGGGUUGACAGAACACCAUGGCAGCUUUUCCAAUAGAAUGAACCCAGAUACCCGAGGGUGCUGUCUCCUGUGGGUUGGCAUCACCUCCUCCACCACAGCUCAGCUAAUGGUGAUUGAGCCUCGGAGAUCACGGGAUGGAGAGUAACAGGCACGGAGAACUCGGGGUGCUCACACAGGAGCCCAGAGAAGCCAGGAGCUCAAACGUGACCUUGAGUUCAGCCCCAGGGCCCUGCAGCCAUCGUACUAUCUCUGCUCCUUGGCCAAGGUCAGAAGGAAUCCACAGGGUCCCCGCUAGGCCACUUCAGAAUCAGCACAUCGGUUGAUGAGCACAGCAAUGUUCUUUAAACAAAGGAACGGCUGGCAUCAAGGUCAUCACAAAAGGUUGUGACUGUCCCUCUCUGCCAAAAAGGACACUGGCCACAUCUGGGCAGAGGUGUGACAGCGUACUCAUUCAGGACAUAAGUUGAUGCCCACACUGCUUAGCUCCCCACCACAGGACACUUGACCCUUCUCCACCGUUAAAGGUGACCAUUACACUCUGCUGAGCAGGGUGAGGUCAUCUUCCCUCUCGAGAGAAGGGACAUAAAAGGAAAAAGAAAAGGAAUUUUCUCCCCUUGAUAAAUCCAAAGCUGUAAUAAAACAGAAUUUAGAUCUUUGGUGAAUAAUUCAUGCUUAUGCAAAAGGAGGGGAAAAAAGGCUUUCAUUAUCCUUCGUGUCCCUCUUCCUGAGUCCUAGAAUCCGAUUCCUGGAUGGAAGUAGACUGAGAUCUAGAGGGGGUUUGCCAGCUGACCCUGGGGGUUGUCCCUCUUGUCACUGCCACCUCUUCAGUGAGCUUUGAGUGGCUCCCCAAGCUGAGUCAGGAUAGAGACAAAGGCCAGAGGCAGAAAGAGUCAGCUUCAGUAGCUACGUGGACUGUCCUCCCUCCUCAAGACAACAUUGUCACCAACAACAAAAGGCAAAGGGAAAAAAAUAAAUAAAUAAAUAAACAAAUAACAGAAAAGGGAAAGAGGGUCGGAGAGAAAGCCCACUGAGUAAACUGUUUGCUGCGCAAAAUCCAAACCUCAGUUCAGAUGCCACAGUACCUAUGGGGACAUUCUGGGCAUGGCGCUCCACAUUCGUAAUCUCAGGGCUGGGAAGCUGGACAUGGGCAGAUCCUGGAAGCUCACUAAGCAGCCAGUCAGCUAAAACAGCAAGUGCCGGGUUUACUGAGAGAGCAUAACCAAAAAGUUAAGAUGGCAAGCAAUCGAGAAAGACACCUAACACUAACUUUUGGCCUCCGCAUGCACGCACACAAGGGCUAGUGCAAUAGAACACACGUGUGCCUAUACACAUCCGACACACACAGAGCACUGAACCAAGAGCUUGGGUUUGUGGCGUGUACAAA